This 253-nucleotide ribosomal RNA is filed under the name uncultured microorganism. Its description in RNAcentral is "partial small subunit ribosomal RNA". It matches the Rfam family "Bacterial small subunit ribosomal RNA", at positions 524 to 775 of the family's 1533-position model. The record is from RNAcentral.
UACGUAGGUGGCAAGCGUUGUCCGGAAUCAUUGGGCGUAAAGGGCGUGUAGGUGGGUUUUUAAGUCGUGUGUCUAAGUGCGGGGCUCAACUCCGUAUGGGCGCAGGAAACUGGAGAUCUUGAGUGCAGGAGAGGAAAGUGGAAUUCCCAGUGUAGCGGUGAAAUGCGUAGAUAUUGGGAGGAACACCAGUGGCGAAGGCGACUUUCUGGACUGUGUCUGACACUGAGGCGCGAAAGCCGAGGGUAGCGACGUA